This 379-nucleotide ribosomal RNA is filed under the name uncultured eukaryote. RNAcentral's name for it is "partial 18S ribosomal RNA". It matches the Rfam family "Eukaryotic small subunit ribosomal RNA", at positions 592 to 976 of the family's 1831-position model. The record is from RNAcentral.
CAAUAGCGUAUAUUUAAGUUGUUGCAGUUAAAAAGCUCGUAGUUGGAUUUCGGAUGGGACUUGCCGGUCCGUCGUUUCGAUGUGCACUGGCCAGUCCUAUCUUGUUGUCGGGGACUAGCUCCUGGGCUUCACUGUCCGGGACUAGGAGCUGACGAGGUUACUUUGAGUAAAUUAGAGUGUUCAAAGCAAGCCUACGCUCUGAAUACAUUAGCAUGGAAUAACACGAUAGGACUCUGGCUUAUCUUGUUGGUCUGUGAGACCAGAGUGAUGAUUAAGAGGGACAGUCGGGGGCAUUCGUAUUUCAUUGUCAGAGGUGAAAUUCUUGGAUUUAUGAAAGACGAACUUCUGCGAAAGCAUUUGUCAAGGAUGUUUUCAUUAG